AAUAUAUUAAAAGACGAACUUUGUAUCAAUAUUUAUGUGCUAAUAACAAAAUUCCAAAUUCACCGGAUGAUCUA
This is a non-coding RNA of Babesia microti strain RI, 74 nucleotides long. The record is from the annotation of a RefSeq genome assembly. Lineage: Eukaryota; Apicomplexa; Aconoidasida; Piroplasmida; Babesiidae.